UUGAGUUUGAUCAUGGCUCAGAUUGAACGCUGGCGGCAGGCCUAACACAUGCAAGUCGAGCGGAAACGAUGGAAGCUUGCUUCCAGGCGUCGAGCGGCGGACGGGUGAGUAAUGCAUAGGAAUCUGCCCGAUAGUGGGGGAUAACGUGGGGAAACCCACGCUAAUACCGCAUACGUCCUACGGGAGAAAGCAGGGGAUCUUCGGACCUUGCGCUAUCGGAUGAGCCUAUGUCGGAUUAGCUAGUUGGUGAGGUAAUGGCUCACCAAGGCGACGAUCCGUAGCUGGUCUGAGAGGAUGAUCAGCCACACUGGGACUGAGACACGGCCCAGACUCCUACGGGAGGCAGCAGUGGGGAAUAUUGGACAAUGGGGGAAACCCUGAUCCAGCCAUGCCGCGUGUGUGAAGAAGGCCUUCGGGUUGUAAAGCACUUUCAGCGAGGAAGAAGGCCUGAGGGUUAAUACCCUUCAGGAAGGACAUCACUCGCA
This 485-nucleotide ribosomal RNA is filed under the name Oceanospirillaceae bacterium S-C18. RNAcentral's name for it is "bacterial SSU rRNA". It matches the Rfam family "Bacterial small subunit ribosomal RNA", at positions 1 to 483 of the family's 1533-position model. The record is from RNAcentral. Lineage: Bacteria; Pseudomonadati; Pseudomonadota; Gammaproteobacteria; Oceanospirillales; Oceanospirillaceae.